This 446-nucleotide ribosomal RNA is filed under the name uncultured bacterium. RNAcentral describes it as "partial 16S ribosomal RNA". It matches the Rfam family "Bacterial small subunit ribosomal RNA", at positions 330 to 792 of the family's 1533-position model. The record is from RNAcentral.
CCCAGACUCCUACGGGAGGCAGCAGUGGGGGAUAUUGCACAAUGGGGGGAACCCUGAUGCAGCGACGCCGCGUGGGUGAAGGAGCGUUUCGGCGCGUAAAGCCCUAUCGGCAGGGAAGAAGGAGGACGGUACCUGACUAAGAAGCCCCGGCUAACUACGUGCCAGCAGCCGCGGUAAUACGUAGGGGGCAAGCGUUAUCCGGAUUUACUGGGUGUAAAGGGGGCGCAGACGGCAGCGCAAGCCAGGAGUGAAAGCCCGGGGCCCAACCCCGGGACUGCUCUUGGAACUGCGCGGCUGGAGUGCAGGAGGGGCAGGCGGAAUUCCUGGUGUAGCGGUGAAAUGCGUAGAUAUUAGGAGGAACACCAGUGGCGAAGGCGGCCUGCUGGACAGUAACUGACGUUGAGGCUCGAAAGCGUGGGGAGCAAACAGGAUUAGAUACCCCAGUA